RNAcentral lists this ribosomal RNA (433 nucleotides) under uncultured bacterium. Its description in RNAcentral is "partial 16S ribosomal RNA". It matches the Rfam family "Bacterial small subunit ribosomal RNA", at positions 29 to 507 of the family's 1533-position model. The record is from RNAcentral.
AACGAACGCUGGCGGCAUGCCUAACACAUGCAAGUCGAACGAGACCUUCGGGUCUAGUGGCGCACGGGUGCGUAACGCGUGGGAACCUGCCCUUAGGUUCGGAAUAACACUUGGAAACGGGUGCUAAUACCGGAUAAUGUCUUCGGACCAAAGAUUUAUCGCCCUUGGAUGAGCCCGCGUUGGAUUAGCUAGUUGGUAGGGUAAAAGCCUACCAAGGCGACGAUCCUUAGCUGGUCUGAGAGGAUGAUCAGCCACACUGGGACUGAGACACGGCCCAGACUCCUACGGGAGGCAGCAGUGGGGAAUAUUGGACAAUGGGCGAAAGCCUGAUCCAGCAAUGCCGCGUGAGUGAUGAAGGCCUUAGGGUUGUAAAGCUCUUUUACCCGGGAUGAUAAUGACAGUACCGGGAGAAUAAGCUCCGGCUAACUCCGUG